Molecule: transfer RNA, 73 nt
Filed under: Candidatus Methanoliparum thermophilum
Lineage: Archaea; Methanobacteriati; Methanobacteriota; Candidatus Methanoliparia; Candidatus Methanoliparales; Candidatus Methanoliparaceae
Also listed under: 1 other name
Description: tRNA-Ala
Rfam family: tRNA
About the family: Transfer RNA (tRNA) molecules are approximately 80 nucleotides in length.
Source: RNAcentral
GGGCUCGUAGCUCAGCUGGAAGAGUGUCGCCUUUGCGAGGCGAAGGCCACGGGUUCAAAUCCCGUCGAGUCCA